ACAGCCACAUCACAUUGAAACACUGGUUUUCCUAAGAUCACUGAAGUUAAGCAACGUUGAGCCUUUUCAGUACUUAAAUGAGGACCACUUGGGAAUACCAGGUACUGUAA
This is a non-coding RNA of Acanthosepion pharaonis, 110 nucleotides long. Lineage: Eukaryota; Metazoa; Mollusca; Cephalopoda; Sepiida; Sepiidae. The record is from the annotation of a GenBank genome assembly.